UCGAGAGGAGCGGCGAACGGCUGCGUAACACGUUGGUACCUACCCCAUACUCAGGAAUAAUUCGCCGAAAGGCGGACUAAUGCCGGAUAGUCCCGCAAGGGUAAAGCUUUCGCGGUAUGGGAGGGGCCUGCGGCCUAUCAGCUUGUUGGUAAGGUAACGGCUUACCAAGGCUAUGACGGGUAGCUGAUCUGAGAGGAUGAUCAGCCAGAAUGGGACUGAGACACGGCCCAUACUCC
This 236-nucleotide ribosomal RNA is filed under the name uncultured bacterium. RNAcentral's name for it is "partial 16S ribosomal RNA". It matches the Rfam family "Bacterial small subunit ribosomal RNA", at positions 86 to 339 of the family's 1533-position model. The record is from RNAcentral.